This 253-nucleotide ribosomal RNA is filed under the name uncultured bacterium. RNAcentral's name for it is "partial 16S ribosomal RNA". It matches the Rfam family "Bacterial small subunit ribosomal RNA", at positions 524 to 776 of the family's 1533-position model. The record is from RNAcentral.
UACGUAGGCAGCGAGUGUUGUUCGGAAUUACUGGGCGUAAAGAGUGUGUAGGCGGUGCUCUAAGUUCGGUGUGAAAUCUCCUGGCUCAACUGGGAGGGUGCGCCGGAAACUGGAGUGCUUGAGCGUGGGAGAGGAAAGCAGAAUUCCUGGUGUAGCGGUGAAAUGCGUAGAUAUCAGGAGGAACACCUGUGGUGUAGACGGCUUUCUGGACCAUAGCUGACGCUGAGACACGAAAGCGUGGGUAGCAAACAGG